AAAGGAAUUGACGGGACCCCGCACAAGCGGUGGAGCAUGUGGUUUAAUUCGAAGCAACGCGAAAAACCUUACCAAGUCUUGACAUCCUCUUGAUCGCUUUAGAGAUAGAGCUUCCUUUCGGGGCAAGAGAGACAGGUGGUGCAUGGUUGUCGUCAGCUCGUGUCGUGAGAUGUUGGGUUAAGUCCCGCAACGAGCGCAACCCUUACUUUUAGUAGCCAGCGAUUAAAGUCGGGCACACUAGAGGGACUGCCGCGGAUAACGCGGAGGAAGGUGGGGAUGACGUCAAAUCAUCAUGCCCCUUAUGAUUUGGGCAACACACGUGCUACAAUGGCUGUAACAAAGUGAAGCAAAGCGGUGACGUGGAGCCAACCACAAAAAAACAGUCUCAGUUCGGAUUGUAGUCUGCAACUCGACUACAUGAAGCUGGAAUCGCUAGUAAUCGCGAAUCAGCAUGUCGCGGUGAAUACGUUCUCGGGGUUUGUACACACCGCCCGU
RNAcentral lists this ribosomal RNA (495 nucleotides) under uncultured bacterium. Its description in RNAcentral is "bacterial SSU rRNA". It matches the Rfam family "Bacterial small subunit ribosomal RNA", at positions 903 to 1397 of the family's 1533-position model. The record is from RNAcentral.